CGCUAUCUGGAUUUAAGCUUGCAAAGAAAUUUGUAAUCUUAAAUAAUGUAAGGGAGGAUAAUGACGUUACCUUACGAUGAGUGUCGUCUAAUCCUGGUGCCAGAAGACUCGGUAAUACCAGAGACGCGAACGUUAGUCAUCUUAAAUGGGCGUAAAGGGUUCGUAGGCAUCUUUAAAAAUCUUAAAGAUAGAAUUAAAUAGAAGAAAGGAGAAUAUCUAUAGGAGUGCUGAGAUAUUUAGAUUAUAGAUGGACUAAUAACGGCGAAGGCUCCUUUCUAUAAAUAAUUGACGCUGAGGAACGAAGGUGUAGAUAGAAAAUAGGAUUAGAGACCCAGGUAUCCUACACUGUAAACGAUGAAUGGUAAUAAUUUAUUUAAUUAAAAAUAAAUUCUGAAGCUAACAGCGAUAACCAUUCCGCCUUGUAAGUAUACUCGCAAGGGUGAAAAUAAAAAAAUUAGUCGGUUCUAGAGCAAACGAAGUGAAGCAUGUUAUUUAAUCGAAAAAACCCCCAAAACCCCCCAA
Molecule: ribosomal RNA, 522 nt
Filed under: Phlebia sp.
Lineage: Eukaryota; Fungi; Basidiomycota; Agaricomycetes; Polyporales; Meruliaceae
Description: partial small subunit ribosomal RNA
Rfam family: Bacterial small subunit ribosomal RNA
Source: RNAcentral